GACUACUGGGGUAUCUAAUCCUGUUUGCUCCCCACGCUUUCGCGUCUCAGCGUCAGAAUCGGCCCAGUGCCCCGCUUUCGCUUCCGGCGUUCCUCUCGAUAUCAACGCAUUUCACCGCUCCACCGAGAGUUCCAGGCACCUCUACCAACCUCAAGCGACGUAGUUUGCCGUGCAGUUCCACGGUUGAGCCGUGGGAUUUCACACGACACUUGCGCCGCCGCCUACACGCGCUUUAAGCCCAGUGAUUCCGAACAACGCUUGCCUCCUCUGUCUUACCGCGACUGCUGGCACAGAGUUAGUCGAGGCUUCCUCUGGGGCGGCUCAACGCCGGAUGCUGUUAACACCCUUUGCUUGCUAGCCCCUGACAGCAGUUUACAUCCCGAAGGACUUCCUCCUGCACGCGGCGUCGCUGGGUCAGGCUUGCGCCCAUUGCCCAAUAUUCGUUACUGCAGCCCCCCGUAGG
This 463-nucleotide ribosomal RNA is filed under the name uncultured bacterium. RNAcentral describes it as "partial 16S ribosomal RNA". The record is from RNAcentral.